This 482-nucleotide ribosomal RNA is filed under the name uncultured bacterium. RNAcentral's name for it is "partial 16S ribosomal RNA". It matches the Rfam family "Bacterial small subunit ribosomal RNA", at positions 28 to 508 of the family's 1533-position model. The record is from RNAcentral.
GAUGAACGCUGGCGGCGUGCUUAACACAUGCAAGUCGAACGAAGCACUUUAUUUGAUUUCCUUCGGGACUGAUUAUUUUGUGACUGAGUGGCGGACGGGUGAGUAACGCGUGGGUAACCUGCCUUGUACAGGGGGAUAACAGUUGGAAACGGCUGCUAAUACCGCAUAAGCGCACAGCAUCGCAUGAUGCAGUGUGAAAAACUCCGGUGGUAUAAGAUGGACCCGCGUUGGAUUAGCUAGUUGGUGAGGUAACGGCCCACCAAGGCGACGAUCCAUAGCCGACCUGAGAGGGUGACCGGCCACAUUGGGACUGAGACACGGCCCAAACUCCUACGGGAGGCAGCAGUGGGGAAUAUUGCACAAUGGGCGAAAGCCUGAUGCAGCGACGCCGCGUGAGCGAAGAAGUAUUUCGGUAUGUAAAGCUCUAUCAGCAGGGAAGAUAAUGACGGUACCUGACUAAGAAGCACCGGCUAAAUACGUGC